Molecule: ribosomal RNA, 292 nt
Filed under: uncultured bacterium
Lineage: Bacteria
Description: partial 16S ribosomal RNA
Rfam family: Bacterial small subunit ribosomal RNA
Source: RNAcentral
GUGCCAGCCGCCGCGGUAAUACGGAGGGUGCAAGCGUUAAUCGGAAUUACUGGGCGUAAAGCGCACGUAGGUGGUUUUGUAAGUCGGAUGUGAAAGCCCUGGGCUCAACCUGGGAAUUGCAUUCGAUACUGCUUAACUAGAGUAUGGUAGAGGGAAGUGGAAUUUCCGGUGUAGCGGUGAAAUGCGUAGAUAUCGGAAGGAACACCAGUGGCGAAGGCGACUUCCUGGGCCAAUACUGACACUGAGGUGCGAAAGCGUGGGUAGCAAACAGGAUUAGAUACCCCCGUAGUCC